AAUGAAGUGCCUGAAAAAGGAUUAUUUUGAUAGAAUAAAAAAUGUAAACCGACUUUACCUUCAUUA
Molecule: transfer RNA, 66 nt
Filed under: Hemathlophorus sp.
Lineage: Eukaryota; Metazoa; Arthropoda; Insecta; Hymenoptera; Tenthredinidae
Description: tRNA-Ile
Source: RNAcentral